GGGAAUAUUCCCCCAUGGGCGAAAGCCUGACGGAGCGACGCCGCGUGAGCGAUGAAGGUCUUCGGAUCGUAAAGCUCUGUUGUUAGGGAAGAACAAGUACCGGAGUAACUGCCGGUACCUUGACGGUACCUAACCAGAAAGCCCCGGCUAACUACGUG
RNAcentral lists this ribosomal RNA (158 nucleotides) under Uncultured bacterium HZ_14G. RNAcentral's name for it is "partial 16S ribosomal RNA". It matches the Rfam family "Bacterial small subunit ribosomal RNA", at positions 357 to 507 of the family's 1533-position model. The record is from RNAcentral.